GACGAACGCUGGCGGCGUGCUUAACACAUGCAAGUCGAACGGAAAGGCCCUGCUUUUGUGGGUUGCUCGAUUGGCGAACGGGUGAGUAACACGUGAGUAUCCCGCCCUUGUCUUUGGGAUAUCUUUAGGAAACUGGGGCUAAUAUCGCAUAGGAGCUCCUGCUGCAUGGUGGGGGAUGGAAAGUUUCGGUGGUUUGGGCUAGACUCGAGGGUUAUCAGCUUGUUGGUGGGGUAGUGGCUUACCAAGGCUGUGACGGCUAGGCGGCAUGAGAGGGUGGACGGCCACAUUGGGACUGAGGGACGGACCAGAAUCCUACGGGAGGCAACAGUGGAGAAUAUUGCACAAUGGGCGGGAGCCUGAUGCAGCAACGCUCCGUGCGGAAUGACGGCCUACGGGGUGUAAACCGAUUUCGAAUGUGACGUAGCGUGCGUGACGGUAAUGGAUAAAGAAGCACCGGCUAACUACGUG
This 468-nucleotide ribosomal RNA is filed under the name uncultured bacterium. RNAcentral describes it as "partial 16S ribosomal RNA". It matches the Rfam family "Bacterial small subunit ribosomal RNA", at positions 28 to 507 of the family's 1533-position model. The record is from RNAcentral.